RNAcentral lists this unclassified non-coding RNA (271 nucleotides) under fungal sp. RNAcentral describes it as "partial internal transcribed spacer region". The stretch from base 1 to 46 matches the Rfam family "Eukaryotic small subunit ribosomal RNA", at positions 1786 to 1831 of the family's 1831-position model. The record is from RNAcentral. Lineage: Eukaryota; Fungi.
AAGUCGUAACAAGGUAACCGUAGGUGAACCUGCGGUUGGAUCAUUAAUGAAUUAUGUCCGAACGUAAAGCAAGGACUAAUUAGAGGUUGAGAGUUUUAACGAAAUCGCAAGAUUUUAAAGAACUUUCCCUCGCUUACACCUGUGAACUGUUUUGUCUUUGGAAGAGUAAUUAACUUCCACUGGCUACCCAAAUUUAUAGUCUUUAGAAACUAGUCUUAAAUAAACAACUUAAAUGUUGAUACAACUUUUGACAACGGAUCUCUUGGCUCUC